Mya arenaria is the source of this 1891-nucleotide long non-coding RNA. RefSeq lists it as uncharacterized. NCBI's taxonomy places the organism in Eukaryota, Metazoa, Mollusca, Bivalvia, Myida, Myidae. The transcript has 9 exons. The record is from RefSeq and is a predicted model, not a curated record.
CCAUAGUCAACACCACACCAUCCCCAAAUAUAGGGGAUACUUUGACGUAUAUGGGGGAUCCCCUGGGACACAUGCAGAAGCUGGAUCUUCUGGUACAGCCUACAUUCAGGAUGAUGAGAGGAGCUAUAACAUGCUGAAAGUUGACAACAAUGGUUAGCAGCAGAUUUCAGAAGAAACAGAAAUAUGGAAUGAGGGUGACAGGAUUGACCUCACCUCUUACAGCUCUGAGUACAGCAAGACCACCUCCUACACAACAACUCAGGGACACACAGAAGGAGGAUGUUCCAAAUUUAUCCUUUUGUUUAUUUUGAUGGAUUUAUGAUCAUGAACUAUGACAUCAUAUUAUACUAGCAUAGUCAAAUAACUCUGAUAUAAAUUGAGGUCAAAGUAUUAAUGUUUUGUAAGAAUAUUACAUAGACAGAUCCUGAUGAUUAUAAAAUCAUCAUAUUGCAUCUGUAAACUGUCUUUAGCAUUUUAAUUUACUCUUUUAUUGUAAGUUACACUUUUUAUAAAAUCACACCUUCAAUUUGACUUUUAGGUGGAGAGUAACGAGCCCAUUUAUGACUGUUACUGCCACUACUGUAACUGGAGAUACCCGUACACAAACGCCCCAACCUACUACUGCCUACACCACCUGUUUGACCAGACAUUGCAUUCCCACGCUGAUGACUACAACAUGGCCUGGGCUUGCACUGCAACAGUUACUAUCACCCUUGCUGUACCUACCUACAUGUACAUCAUAAAAUCAAGGUCUACCCUGUGGCCGCACACUAUACCAAGUUUAAGGUACUUGGCUAUGUUACUGCUGGUGAGGCAUUUGAUGUGACCCCAAACUACAUUGUUCCCAGUUCAAGCCCCAUUCACGGGCCUAUGUGGACCUCCCGGUUGGCAAGAUAGCUGCAAAGUUUGAGUUCUUCUAUCUGGCCAUGAGAACAGUAUUUACUUAUAUGCAGCUUUGUCCGAGAUUGAAAGUCACCUGAUGAAUUGAGGUACAAGCACAUCAGCCUUCACGGAGCCUCCACAUGGAUUCUGGCAGAUGCCGGUCAGUCAUUUGACUUCAUUGACGUUUACUUACAGGGACAUGCCCACCUGGGCUUCAGGCCGAAAAACAGCUACACUGAUGCUGUGUCCAUGUUUGCUGGCAAGGUUGUCGGCGAUAAAACUGGCUAUUUCCAUAUUGGGUACAACCAGGAUGUGACAGUGAACUCCACAGACUUUGAUGUCCCCUUCAACACACAUGUAUAUGAGAAGGGACACAUCACCUAUCCACCAAGAAACUUCUUCUACAAGACAAAAUUGCUCUCCUCAGGAAAGGUGUCAGGUAUCGAGGAUCUGUAUGUGUUCAAGGAAGGCCAUGUUGCCAUAGAUAGGAAUGGUAGCCUAGCAACCAGCCACUCACCGGCGACAGUGUGUCCCUCAAAUCCCUGCAUGUUCAAGAGGGUGGAACAUUUGAAAUGUCCUCUGAGUCACACCAACCAUAGGCUUCAGCAGUGAUGCCACAAACAUCUCUGUUUAUGGUGAUGGCCAUUUCAUGAUCAACACUGGUAUUAUUAUGACAGUCCACCACCUUCUGGCUGUGUACUCAGGUGGCAAGAUCGAGUGGUGCAGGGUACCAGCCUAACUCAGGGCUGGGAGGACCCGGAGCAGGCAUUGGUUCUACUUCUGGUGGAAGUGGAGCUGGUCAUGGUGGCAGUGGAGGCCGAGGCUCUAGUCUUGGCAAGGUUGGCACUAGGUGACCUGUACUUUGGAGACCAUCCUCAUGGCAACCAGAUGAUCUACAAGACACUUGGUGGCGCUGGUGGUGGCUACCUGGAGAUAAAAAGCCGACAUGUGGACAUUGAUGGGCUUGUGGUGGCCAAUGGAAAUGCUCCUGACACAAGUUUUGACAGAG